GGGAAUGUGGCUUAGUGGUAAAGUGCUUGCCUAUCAUGCAAGAAGCCCUGGGCUUGAUUCCUCAAAACCA
This 70-nucleotide transfer RNA is filed under the name Dipodomys ordii (Ord's kangaroo rat). It matches the Rfam family "tRNA". Rfam says of the family: Transfer RNA (tRNA) molecules are approximately 80 nucleotides in length. Their secondary structure includes four short double-helical elements and three loops (D, anti-codon, and T loops). The record is from Rfam by way of RNAcentral. Lineage: Eukaryota; Metazoa; Chordata; Mammalia; Rodentia; Heteromyidae.